AUCCAUCUGACGAGUCCGAAAUAGGACGAGUCAUGCAU
Molecule: non-coding RNA, 38 nt
Organism: Schistosoma rodhaini
Lineage: Eukaryota; Metazoa; Platyhelminthes; Trematoda; Strigeidida; Schistosomatidae
Source: Rfam